RNAcentral lists this ribosomal RNA (486 nucleotides) under uncultured bacterium. Its description in RNAcentral is "bacterial SSU rRNA". It matches the Rfam family "Bacterial small subunit ribosomal RNA", at positions 791 to 1283 of the family's 1533-position model. The record is from RNAcentral.
UAGUCCACGCCCUAAACGAUGCUCACUCGGUAUUGGCGAUAUAAUGUCAGUGCCUAAGGGAAACCAUUAAGUGAGCCACCUGGGGAGUACGUUCGCAAGAAUGAAGCCCAAAGGAAUUGACGGGGAUCCGCACAAGCGGUGGAGCAUGUGGUUUAAUUCGAUGAUACGCGAGGAACCUUACCUAGGCUCUAGUGCGAGCGCAAUCUGGUGAAAGCCGGAGUUCCUUCGGGACGCGAAGCAAGGUGCUGCAUGGUUGUCGUCAGCUCGUGCCGUGAGGUGUUGGGUUAAGUCCCGCAACGAGCGCAACCCCCAUUGUUAGUUGCCAGCAUUAAGUUGGGGACUCUAGCAAGACUGCCGGCGUAAGCCGCGAGGAAGGUGGGGACGACGUCAAAUCAUCAUGGCCUUUAUGCCUAGGGCUACACACGUGCUACAAUGGUGCAUACAGAGGGUAGCGAAGCAGCGAUGCGGAGCCAAUCUCAGAAAGUG